Molecule: ribosomal RNA, 295 nt
Filed under: uncultured bacterium
Lineage: Bacteria
Description: partial 16S ribosomal RNA
Rfam family: Bacterial small subunit ribosomal RNA
Source: RNAcentral
GGAUUAGAUACCCUGGUAGUCCACGCCGUAAACGAUGUGCACUAGAUAUGAGGAGGUUGACCCUUUUCGUGUCGUAGCUAACGCAUUAAGUGCACCGCCUGGGGAGUACGGUCGCAAGACUAAAACUCAAAGGAAUUGACGGGGGCCCGCACAAGCGGUGGAUUAUGUGGUUUAAUUCGAAGCAACGCGCAGAACCUUACCUGGGCUUGAAGUCCCGAGAAUCUGUCCCAAAAGACGGAGUGCUCUUCGGAGAAUUCGGUGAUAGGCGCUGCAUGGCUGUCGUCAGCUCGUGCCG